GCGCCUAUAGCUCAGGUGGAUAGAGCACAGGAUUCCUAAUCCUGGGGCCGCAAGUUCGAGUCUUGCUAGGCGCA
This 74-nucleotide transfer RNA is filed under the name Candidatus Rifleibacteriota bacterium. RNAcentral describes it as "tRNA-Arg". It matches the Rfam family "tRNA". Rfam says of the family: Transfer RNA (tRNA) molecules are approximately 80 nucleotides in length. Lineage: Bacteria; Candidatus Rifleibacteriota. The record is from RNAcentral.